CCUGAUUUUUUUCAAACUCAGCCCACUGCCGAAGUAGAGAUGUUCUUUGCAGGUCUGGCUGUUUAUGCUCCUGGAAGCCCAGCUGUGUUCACCACCAGCCCUGAAAUGGCCCCCAGAACAAAGAAGAAUAUAACCCCAAGGUUUAGCCACGACGCACUGGAGUCUUUAAUAGAGGUGUCUGCCAACUCCAGGAUGUCCUUUACCUGAGAGAUGGUUCCAGGAGGGACCAUCACCUCAUCGGCCUGGAAGGUGGUUGCAAAGGACGUCUGUGUCAUGGGCAACCACCAACAAAAUGCCCUGCAGUGCCAGAAGAGGAUGAAUGAUCUAAUUCACACUGCCAGGGCCCAGAUGACAGGUUGUGAAGGGAGCAACAGACUACAAUGAUGCAGGACACCCUUUGUGCAGAGUACUGCAGAGCCCCACCUAUAGGUUCAAACAUCAGAAGCACAUCUUCAGGAUCCCAAUGUGAUGGAUCUUGUCGCAAAGUGCGCCAUGUUGUAUCUCUUCUCUAAGACGCUUUGAGGAUGACACACAGGCGUCAUGAGCCACCUGUUCAGCCCUUGUCACCCAGCAGCCAACCCUGUAAGCGCUAUGACCCUUUGAAUAUCUGUGGCACCUGGGAGUGACUCAGGGUGUAGGAGUCAUGAGAACUCCCAGAAUACCUGACACAAACAUGCAUGAUGUGCUUCUGAUGAUCGUGAACCAACUAAACGUUGAGGGAGUGGAACCAUUUCCAGUUAAAUAAAGAUCAGGGACUGUUGCCAUGGAGCUCUUCAAGUGGCACGUGUGCAAUCGACCUGUACUCUAGGGAAGACUCAGACAGCCGCAAAUCCAAAUAUCUAGCAGCCUGGUUAGCGUCAUCCAUUGCAGAGUUUACAUAAUGGUGAGCCUUACUGUAGAGGUGUAGAGGGCAUCUGUCCCCUCCUUUAUUCAUUUAUGUGUGGAGGACUGAGAGAUCCUGCAUGGGUCCCCUGUGGAUCCCUGGACCAGCCGCUUGCAAAUAUCUUGAGUGUGGAGGUGACCUUCGAGGCCAUUGGCAGAGGAUGGCCUCCCAGUCCAUGUGGUAUUAGAUCCUCCCACAGAAUGUGAUAGAUAUGAUCCACCAGAUCUCUUGACAAUCGCAGACAUGUGCGGUACUCUCUCAUUCAUCUCCAAAUAGGAGAGGUAUCUUUGGUAAACCUUUGGUCGUGCCAGUUGUGUCUGUGGGAUGAGUCUAACUUCUUCAGCCUCUGGUUCUUCCUUGGGCUCCCCAUGGUGCAUGGACCAUGCACCUCAGGCCAGGGGUCUUCUCUAAGCUGUGUUAGACGGCAUCAGGCCCUUCUUCUCCUCCUCAAUCUAAGUACUGCCAUCAAGAAGGCAACAUUGAGCGCAGCCUCUAUUAUUAAAUUCUCCUUCUCCCUAUUGACAGAUAGAUCCAACAGAUGAAUUUAGAUUGACCAACUAUAGUAGACAGCCCACUCUUAGCCAGAAAGCCACUGUCAUGUCCUAGUGCUGUAUCUAUGCUACUCGCCUUUCCCUGUCAUGCCCUUGUGGCUGUGGAACUCCCUCACAGAUUAUGGGUGCCAAAGAAGCCACCCCAACAACCUGACCUCUCAAGCCCAUAGAGGAUAGAAGAGGCUUGGGCACAGCCAUACUAUGGUCAACCUCACUAAAAGCACUCAUAUGAUCCCUAAUUUGAAUUAGAGAUUAAGCUUGCCUUGCACUAUUUGAAUGACUGAAUGCCUUUUGGCCCCUAACCCAUGUCAAUUGGACAAUGUGCUUUUCAGGGUUUAAUUGAGCAUCCUGCAGAUAUCCAGCAGCUGUGCUCCCUUAAUGGCUGGAUGCCUUUUCCCUUCUCACAUCCCUGACAUUUAAAUGCUCAAUUAGACUACUUCGAAUAUGAUCCCAUUGACUGUUGUUGUCUCGUGUAAAAGUGCAUCAUUAUAUUGCGCCACUAACUCAGUUCUCAAUAAAGUCUUCAUGAUUUCUA
Carcharodon carcharias (great white shark) is the source of this 1969-nucleotide long non-coding RNA. RefSeq lists it as uncharacterized. Lineage: Eukaryota; Metazoa; Chordata; Chondrichthyes; Lamniformes; Lamnidae. The transcript is spliced from 3 exons. The record is from RefSeq and is a predicted model, not a curated record.